UUCAUAUUUCCAAGAAUUCUAAGAGACUACUCUUAAGUAUGACCUUAAGAUACGAGUCACCUUUUUGUCACACCAUCAAUUUAUUCUUUUUGGUUUGAAGAAAAAAAUCAUCCUAGUAUGGUGAUUGUGGUUCAUCACAUUUCCACCGCGCUACUUUGAUGAGAAACAUAUUGAAAUUUAUGAAUAGUUGGAUGUGAGGAUAGCUCCUAAGGCUAUAUACCCCUCACCUAUGGAAUUUUC
Molecule: long non-coding RNA, 240 nt
Filed under: Carica papaya (papaya)
Lineage: Eukaryota; Viridiplantae; Streptophyta; Magnoliopsida; Brassicales; Caricaceae
Description: long non-coding RNA (CPAP_LNC004389)
Source: RNAcentral